AACGCACAUUGCGCCCCUUGGUAUUCCAUGGGGCAUGCCUGUUCGAGCGUCAUUUGUACCUUCAAGCUUUGCUUGGUGUUGGGUGUUUGUCUCGCCUCUGCGUGUAGACUCGCCUCAAAACAAUUGGCAGCCGGCGUAUUGAUUUCGGAGCGCAGUACAUCUCGCGCUUUGCACUCAGAACGACGACGUCCAAAAGUACAUUUUUACACUCUUGACCUCGGAUCAGGUAGGGAUACCCGCUGAACUUAA
RNAcentral lists this unclassified non-coding RNA (249 nucleotides) under uncultured Didymellaceae. RNAcentral's name for it is "sequence contains ITS2". Lineage: Eukaryota; Fungi; Ascomycota; Dothideomycetes; Pleosporales; Didymellaceae. The record is from RNAcentral.